Molecule: ribosomal RNA, 450 nt
Filed under: uncultured bacterium
Lineage: Bacteria
Description: bacterial SSU rRNA
Rfam family: Bacterial small subunit ribosomal RNA
Source: RNAcentral
AACGAACGCUGGCGGCAGGCCUAACACAUGCAAGUCGAACGCCGUAGCAAUACGGAGUGGCAGACGGGUGAGUAACACGUGGGAACGUACCCUUCGGUUCGGGAUAACUCAGGGAAACUUGAGCUAAUACCGGAUACGUCCGAGAGGAGAAAGAUUUAUCGCCGAGGGAUCGGCCCGCGUCUGAUUAGCUUGUUGGUGAGGUAACGGCUCACCAAGGCGACGAUCAGUAGCUGGUCNGAGAGGAUGAUCAGCCACAUUGGGACUGAGACACGGCCCAAACUCCUACGGGAGGCAGCAGUGGGGAAUAUUGGACAAUGGGCGCAAGCCUGAUCCAGCCAUGCCGCGUGAGUGAUGAAGGCCCUAGGGUUGUAAAGCUCUUUUACCCGGGAAGAUAAUGACUGUACCGGGAGAAUAAGCCCCGGCUAACUUCGUGCCAGCCGCCGCCGUAAC